Molecule: long non-coding RNA, 620 nt
Organism: Oxyura jamaicensis (ruddy duck)
Lineage: Eukaryota; Metazoa; Chordata; Aves; Anseriformes; Anatidae
Exons: 3
Source: RefSeq, a predicted model, not a curated record
GAUUAUAGUUCAGCGUCUAGAUAUCCCUGCUAUGUCAAAGUCCUUUGAAAUACAACCUGAGCUGCAGAUUUACGACCAUCAAACUGCAUCUUUAUUCCAAUGUGAAACAGAGCAAGAGCCAUGCAGAGCAGCUAUCUGGAGGAGCAGGACGAGGGAGCAGCAAUGAGGAGUGUGAAAGCAGCAGCCCUCUGCAGAAGGGGCAGCAGGCUCUGGCUCAGCACCAUGGCAGAGAGCAGCCCCGUCCCACAGCCCCCGCACCGUGUCUGAGCCAGGACUGCCCCGCUCCUGCUGCGAGCACAGCUCCCUGCACUUGCACGUUCGAAUAAACAACUAUAUUGGGUUAAAAAGUGACCAGAAACACGCUGGUGGGGUCAUACUCCAGCCGCCACCACUUGCCCUCCUGCGUCCCCACCUGAAACCGCAGCCCCGCUGAUGGCAGCUCAGGUCCUCCCGGACCUCUCACCACGAGCCCUGACCUCUCGUCCACCCAGCUGAGCCUAAUGAGAUCCAGCUACUACACAAAACAGCAAAUUAGCUCUUUUCCCACCGCCCAGACCAGCUGAUUCUCAGUUGCAGGGAGGCAGGAACAGCCCCUGGUCCUCACAGGGCUGGGCUCAGCA